CGGAUUCUGGCUCAGGAUGAACGCUAGCUACAGGCUUAACACAUGCAAGUCGAGGGGCAGCAUUGAGAUAGCUUGCUAUUCAGAUGGCGACCGGCGCACGGGUGAGUAACGCGUAUCCAACCUUCCCCUUAGUAGAGGAUAGCCCGGCGAAAGUCGGAUUAAUACUCUAUGUUGUAUUUUGAGGACAUCUGACGAAUACCAAAGAUUCAUCGCUAAGGGAUGGGGAUGCGUCUGAUUAGCUUGUUGGCGGGGUAACGGCCCACCAAGGCGACGAUCAGUAGGGGUUCUGAGAGGAAGGUCCCCCACAUUGGUACUGAGACACGGACCAAACUCCUACGGGAGGCAGCAGUGAGGAAUAUUGGUCAAUGGGCGAGAGCCUGAACCAGCCAAGUAGCGUGCAAGGAAGACUGCCCUAUGGGUUGUAAACUGCUUUUAUCAGGGAAUAAAGUUCGGCACGUGUGCUGUUUUGUAUGUACCUGAUGAAUAAGGACCGGCUAAUUCCGUGCCAGCCGCCGC
Molecule: ribosomal RNA, 516 nt
Filed under: uncultured bacterium
Lineage: Bacteria
Description: bacterial SSU rRNA
Rfam family: Bacterial small subunit ribosomal RNA
Source: RNAcentral